CGGAGUUGUGCAAGUGUUUUUGUUUGUUCCCUGCAUUUCGAAGAUGCUUGUUUUACAAACAAGUCCCAGUUUGACGCCGGAUUUGCAAAGCGUUUAUUUCUUAAGGAUGAUGCAGUCCCAACGAAAAAUGGUCACGAUCGUGUGUUGGAAUCGCAGGCGACCAGGACUGAAGACCAAAAGACCCUGGAGAACAGAAGAGAGGAAGAGUGGAAAGAUAAAUAGAGAAAGAUGAACUUCUGCACCAAGAGAAUAGGAAUUUUCCCUCUCCUCUGCUUUAGCUGUCCAGAACCAUGCACCAUUAUGAGCAUCUCCUCCAAGGAUGUGAGCAGGGAGGGCUGCGGAUGCACUUCACAUAGUUUCUCCUCCAGGGGAAAAUCAUGCUUUUCAUCUGUUUGACAGCAGGCUUGACCUCAUUUUAAGGUCAGCAUAGAAAGGAGAGAGUGAGUGUUUGGAGGUCUCGGGGAAGCCCAGGAGAGUUUUGUCCCCAACUGCUUACUGGACUAAAAGCCCUGCAGAUGAAGGAAAGAACUUAAAAUGACUCAUCUCUGGCAGCUCAGCAGCACUUGACAGUUCAACAAGACUUUUGCAGGCCAGGUCUGACACCAAACAGAUUCCUAAGAGUUUUCUGGGAUUGAUCUGUCAUAAUGCAUGUACACUUGCUAAUUGAAGAAAUUCAACAGAAACCUUCAUGUGCUGAUCAGAAGAGAAGCUGAGAACAUCUAAAAGAGUCCAACAGGACAGAGUCCAAAAGGUACAGCACUGGAGGCCACAGUAAUGAACUCUCUACUCCUAACCCAUACAGCAGUUUCCUGCUCCAGACUACGAAUAAUUCAGGUAAAUCAGAUUCAGCUCCAACUCUGGUCCCUGAAGCCUCAUAUUCAUGCUCUAACGCAUGGUGUGCUUUAUGACUGCACCACUUGUAAUGUACAUUACCCUAACAUGGGAUGACCAGCACUUCCCAUGAGAAGCAGACUGGAGACUCAGUACCGAAGCUGCUUGUAAUGGACCCUCUGGCUAAAUCUCUGGGAUUCACUGGAGGAGAACAUGUCAGAGAUGAAGGCUGGAACCGCAGAAGGCCAUAAGCACAAAAGGGCUGAGGUAAGAGAGAUGAUAAAACGCACGGGGAGCAGAGACUAAAAUAAGCCGAUGUGGGUAUAGGGGUGAGGUGAAAAAUCGAUGGAUGUGAAUAAUUUGGAGCAGUGUUUCAGGAUCGGAUGGGAAAUGCAGCCAAAAGUGAAAUUUUUAUCCCC
Long non-coding RNA from Cyprinus carpio carpio, 1250 nucleotides. NCBI's taxonomy places the organism in Eukaryota, Metazoa, Chordata, Actinopteri, Cypriniformes, Cyprinidae. The record is from Ensembl.